RNAcentral lists this ribosomal RNA (397 nucleotides) under uncultured bacterium. Its description in RNAcentral is "partial 16S ribosomal RNA". It matches the Rfam family "Bacterial small subunit ribosomal RNA", at positions 338 to 732 of the family's 1533-position model. The record is from RNAcentral.
CCUACGGGAGGCAGCAGUGAGGAAUAUUGGUCAAUGGGCGAGAGCCUGAACCAGCCACGUCGCGUGAAGGAUGACGGCCCUACGGGUUGUAAACUUCUUUUGUCAGGGAGCAAUAGGGUCCGCUCGUGGGCUUAGCGACAGUACCUGAAGAAAAGGCAUCGGCUAACUCCGUGCCAGAAGCCGCGGUAAUACGGGGGAUGCGAGGGUUAGCCGGAUUUAUUGGGUUUAAAGGAGGCGUAGGCGGAAUGUCAGGUCCGCGGUAAAAAUUCGGGGCUAAACCCGGUAGUGCGGUUGAAACUGAUGUUCUUGAGUGGGCGAGAGGUAUGCGGAAUGCGUGGUGUAGCGGUGAAAUGCAUAGAUAUCACGAAGAACUCCGAUUGCGAAGGCAGCAUACCGG